GUGCUCACUUCAGCAGCACAUAUACUAAAACUGGAAUGACACAGAGAAGAUUAGCAUGGCCCCUGCACAAGGAUGACAUACAAAUUUGUGAAGCAUUCCAUAGUUUU
RNAcentral lists this small nuclear RNA (107 nucleotides) under Moschus moschiferus (Siberian musk deer). Lineage: Eukaryota; Metazoa; Chordata; Mammalia; Artiodactyla; Moschidae. The record is from RNAcentral.